GUGCUCGCUUCGGCAGCACAUGUGCUAAAAUUGGAACGAUGCAGAGAAGAUUAGUAUGGCAUGGUCCCUGUGCAAGGAUGACAUGCAAAUUCGUGAAGUGUUCCAUAUUUUU
Molecule: small nuclear RNA, 112 nt
Organism: Dama dama (fallow deer)
Lineage: Eukaryota; Metazoa; Chordata; Mammalia; Artiodactyla; Cervidae
Source: RefSeq, a predicted model, not a curated record